RNAcentral lists this ribosomal RNA (395 nucleotides) under Oxyonchus sp. Ugent CeMoFe4L9F16. Its description in RNAcentral is "SSU rRNA". It matches the Rfam family "Eukaryotic small subunit ribosomal RNA", at positions 31 to 430 of the family's 1831-position model. Lineage: Eukaryota; Metazoa; Nematoda; Enoplea; Enoplida; Thoracostomopsidae. The record is from RNAcentral.
CUUGUCUCAAAGAUUAAGCCAUGCAUGUCUAAGUAUAAGCAAUUAUACGGCGAAACUGCGAAUGGCUCAUUAUAUAAGUUAUCGUUUAUUUGAUAGUACCUUACUACUUGGAUAACCGUGGUAAUUCUAGAGCUAAUACAUGCUAAAAAUCCCGACUUCGGAAGGGAUGUAUUUAUUAGAUUAAAAACCAAUGCCCUUCGGGGCUCCUUGGUGAUUCAUGAUAACUUCGCGAAUCGCAUGGCCUUGCGCCGGCGAUGGUUCAUUCAAAUUUCUUCCCUAUCAACUUUCGAUGUUUGGGUAUUGGCCAAACAUGGUUGCAACGGGUAACGGAGGGUUAGGGCUCGACCCCGGAGAAGGAGCCUGAGAAACGGCUACUACAUCCAAGGAAGGCAGCA